Molecule: ribosomal RNA, 253 nt
Filed under: uncultured bacterium
Lineage: Bacteria
Description: partial 16S ribosomal RNA
Rfam family: Bacterial small subunit ribosomal RNA
Source: RNAcentral
UACGAGGGGUGCGAGCGUUGCUCGGAAUUAUUGGGCGUAAAGGGUAGGUAGGUGGUCUUAUUUGUCUGGGGUGAAAUCCUUGAGCUUAACUCAAGAAGUGCCCCAGAAACGGUAAGACUAGAGUCCUGGAGAGGGUCGUGGAAUUCCCGGUGUAGCGGUGAAAUGCGUAGAGAUCGGGAGGAGCACCAGAGGCGAAGGCGGCGACCUGGACAGGCACUGACACUCAACUACGAAAGCGUGGGGAGCAAACAGG